AUUGAACGCUGGCGGCAUGCCUUACACAUGCAAGUCGAACGGCAGUACGGGAGCAAUCCUGGUGGCGAGUGGCGAACGGGUGAGUAAUAUAUCGGAACGUGCCCAGUCGUGGGGGAUAACGUAGCGAAAGCUACGCUAAUACCGCAUACGAUCUAUGGAUGAAAGCGGGGGAUCGCAAGACCUCGCGCGAUUGAGCGGCCGAUAUCAGAUUAGGUAGUUGGUGAGGUAAAGGCUCACCAAGCCGACGAUCUGUAGCUGGUCUGAGAGGACGACCAGCCACACUGGGACGGAGACACGGCCCAGACUCCUACGGGAGGCAGCAGUGGGGAAUUUUGGACAAUGGGCGCAAGCCUGAUCCAGCAAUGCCGCGUGCAGGAUGAAGGCCUUCGGGUUGUAAACUGCUUUUGUACGGAACGAAACGGCGAGCUCUAAUACAGCUUGCUAAUGACGGUACCGUAAGAAUAAGCACCGGCUAACUACGUGCCAGCAGCCGCCGUAA
This 499-nucleotide ribosomal RNA is filed under the name uncultured bacterium. Its description in RNAcentral is "partial 16S ribosomal RNA". It matches the Rfam family "Bacterial small subunit ribosomal RNA", at positions 30 to 523 of the family's 1533-position model. The record is from RNAcentral.